Molecule: ribosomal RNA, 2927 nt
Filed under: Klebsiella grimontii
Lineage: Bacteria; Pseudomonadati; Pseudomonadota; Gammaproteobacteria; Enterobacterales; Enterobacteriaceae
Description: 23S ribosomal RNA
Rfam family: Bacterial large subunit ribosomal RNA
Source: RNAcentral
GGGUUGUGAGGUUAAGCGACUAAGCGUACACGGUGGAUGCCCUGGCAGUCAGAGGCGAUGAAGGACGUGCUAAUCUGCGAAAAGCGUCGGUAAGGUGAUAUGAACCGUUAUAGCCGGCGAUGUCCGAAUGGGGAAACCCAGUGCAAUUCGUUGCACUAUCGUUAACUGAAUACAUAGGUUAACGAGGCGAACCGGGGGAACUGAAACAUCUAAGUACCCCGAGGAAAAGAAAUCAACCGAGAUUCCCCCAGUAGCGGCGAGCGAACGGGGAGCAGCCCGGAGUCUGAAUCAGCUUGUGUGUUAGUGGAAGCGUCUGGAAAGUCGCAGGGUACAGGGUGAUACUCCCGUACACUAAAACACACAGGCUGUGAACUCGAAGAGUAGGGCGGGACACGUGGUAUCCUGUCUGAAUAUGGGGGGACCAUCCUCCAAGGCUAAAUACUCCUGACUGACCGAUAGUGAACCAGUACCGUGAGGGAAAGGCGAAAAGAACCCCGGCGAGGGGAGUGAAAAAGAACCUGAAACCGUGUACGUACAAGCAGUAGGAGCCUCUUUAUGGGGUGACUGCGUACCUUUUGUAUAAUGGGUCAGCGACUUAUAUUCUGUAGCAAGGUUAACCGUAUAGGGGAGCCGCAGGGAAACCGAGUCUUAACUGGGCGUUAAGUUGCAGGGUAUAGACCCGAAACCCGGUGAUCUAGCCAUGGGCAGGUUGAAGGUUGGGUAACACUAACUGGAGGACCGAACCGACUAAUGUUGAAAAAUUAGCGGAUGACUUGUGGCUGGGGGUGAAAGGCCAAUCAAACCGGGAGAUAGCUGGUUCUCCCCGAAAGCUAUUUAGGUAGCGCCUCGUGAACUCAUCUUCGGGGGUAGAGCACUGUUUCGGCUAGGGGGUCAUCCCGACUUACCAACCCGAUGCAAACUACGAAUACCGAAGAAUGUUAUCACGGGAGACACACGGCGGGUGCUAACGUCCGUCGUGAAGAGGGAAACAACCCAGACCGCCAGCUAAGGUCCCAAAGUCAUGGUUAAGUGGGAAACGAUGUGGGAAGGCCCAGACAGCCAGGAUGUUGGCUUAGAAGCAGCCAUCAUUUAAAGAAAGCGUAAUAGCUCACUGGUCGAGUCGGCCUGCGCGGAAGAUGUAACGGGGCUAAACCAUGCACCGAAGCUGCGGCAGCGACACUAUGUGUUGUUGGGUAGGGGAGCGUUCUGUAAGCCGUUGAAGGUGGCCUGUGAGGGUUGCUGGAGGUAUCAGAAGUGCGAAUGCUGACAUAAGUAACGAUAAUGCGGGUGAAAAACCCGCACGCCGGAAGACCAAGGGUUCCUGUCCAACGUUAAUCGGGGCAGGGUGAGUCGACCCCUAAGGCGAGGCCGAAAGGCGUAGUCGAUGGGAAACAGGUUAAUAUUCCUGUACUCGGUGUUACUGCGAAGGGGGGACGGAGAAGGCUAUGUUGGCCGGGCGACGGUUGUCCCGGUUUAAGCAUGUAGGCGGAUGUUCCAGGUAAAUCCGGAACGUUAUUAACGCUGAGGUGUGAUGACGAGGCACUACGGUGCUGAAGUGACAAAUGCCCUGCUUCCAGGAAAAGCCUCUAAGCAUCAGGUAACAUCAAAUCGUACCCCAAACCGACACAGGUGGUCAGGUAGAGAAUACCAAGGCGCUUGAGAGAACUCGGGUGAAGGAACUAGGCAAAAUGGUGCCGUAACUUCGGGAGAAGGCACGCUGAUGGUAAGUGAAGUGACUUGCUCAUGGAGCUGAAAUCAGUCGAAGAUACCAGCUGGCUGCAACUGUUUAUUAAAAACACAGCACUGUGCAAACACGAAAGUGGACGUAUACGGUGUGACGCCUGCCCGGUGCCGGAAGGUUAAUUGAUGGGGUUAUCCGUAAGGAGAAGCUCUUGAUCGAAGCCCCGGUAAACGGCGGCCGUAACUAUAACGGUCCUAAGGUAGCGAAAUUCCUUGUCGGGUAAGUUCCGACCUGCACGAAUGGCGUAAUGAUGGCCAGGCUGUCUCCACCCGAGACUCAGUGAAAUUGAACUCGCUGUGAAGAUGCAGUGUACCCGCGGCAAGACGGAAAGACCCCGUGAACCUUUACUAUAGCUUGACACUGAACACUGGUCCUUGAUGUGUAGGAUAGGUGGGAGGCUUUGAAGUGUGGACGCCAGUCUGCAUGGAGCCAUCCUUGAAAUACCACCCUUUAAUGGCUGGUGUUCUAACGUGGGCCCGUUAUCCGGGUUGCGGACAGUGUCUGGUGGGUAGUUUGACUGGGGCGGUCUCCUCCUAAAGAGUAACGGAGGAGCACGAAGGUCAGCUAAUCCUGGUCGGACAUCAGGAGGUUAGUGCAAUGGCAUAAGCUGGCUUGACUGCGAGCGUGACGGCGCGAGCAGGUGCGAAAGCAGGUCAUAGUGAUCCGGUGGUUCUGAAUGGAAGGGCCAUCGCUCAACGGAUAAAAGGUACUCCGGGGAUAACAGGCUGAUACCGCCCAAGAGUUCAUAUCGACGGCGGUGUUUGGCACCUCGAUGUCGGCUCAUCACAUCCUGGGGCUGAAGUAGGUCCCAAGGGUAUGGCUGUUCGCCAUUUAAAGUGGUACGCGAGCUGGGUUUAGAACGUCGUGAGACAGUUCGGUCCCUAUCUGCCGUGGGCGCUGGAGAAUUGAGGGGGGCUGCUCCUAGUACGAGAGGACCGGAGUGGACGCAUCACUGGUGUUCGGGUUGUCAUGCCAAUGGCAUUGCCCGGUAGCUAAAUGCGGAAGAGAUAAGUGCUGAAAGCAUCUAAGCACGAAACUUGCCCCGAGAUGAGUUCUCCCUGACUCCUUGAGAGUCCUGAAGGAACGUUGAAGACGACGACGUUGAUAGGCCGGGUGUGUAAGCGCAGCGAUGCGUUGAGCUAACCGGUACUAAUGAACCGUGAGGCUUAACCUUACAACGCCGAAG